This 253-nucleotide ribosomal RNA is filed under the name uncultured bacterium. Its description in RNAcentral is "partial 16S ribosomal RNA". It matches the Rfam family "Bacterial small subunit ribosomal RNA", at positions 524 to 776 of the family's 1533-position model. The record is from RNAcentral.
UACGAAGGGGGCUAGCGUUGUUCGGAAUUACUGGGCGUAAAGCGCACGUAGGCGGCUUUGUAAGUUAGAGGUGAAAGCCCAGGGCUUAACCCUGGAAUUGCCUUUAAGACUGCAUCGCUAGAAUUGUGGAGAGGUAAGUGGAAUUCCGAGUGUAGAGGUGAAAUUCGUAGAUAUUCGGAAGAACACCAGUGGCGAAGGCGACUUACUGGACACAUAUUGACGCUGAGGUGCGAAAGCGUGGGGAGCAAACAGG